UUAGAGUUUGACCUGGCUCAGGAUGAACGCUAGCUACAGGCUUAACACAUGCAAGUCGAGGGGCAUCGCGGUGCGGCAACGCACCGGCGGCGACCGGCGCACGGGUGAGUAACGCGUAUCCGACCUGGCCUUCACUUUGGGAUAGCCCCUCGAAAGAGGGAUUAAUACCGGAUAUGUGGGAGCGUUACAUGGCACUCCCACGAAAGAUUUAUCGGUGAAGGAUGGGGAUGCGUCCCAUUAGCUUGUUGGCGGGGUAACGGCCCACCAAGGCGACGAUGGGUAGGGGUACUGAGAGGUAGGUCCCCCACAUUGGAACUGAGACACGGUCCAAACUCCUACGGGAGGCAGCAGUGAGGAAUAUUGGUCAAUGGGCGAGAGCCUGAACCAGCCAAGUAGCGUGAAGGAAGACUGUCCUAUGGAUUGUAAACUUCUUUUGUCGGGGGAUAAAGCGGGCCACGUGUGGCCCUUUGCAGGUACCCGAUGAAUAAGGACCGGCUAAUUCCGUGCCAGCAGCCGCGGUAAUACGGAAGGUCCGAGCGUUAUCCGGAUUUAUUGGGUUUAAAGGGUGCGUAGGCUGUUGUUCAAGUCAGAGGUGAAAGCCCGGGGCUCAACUCCGGAACUGCCUUUGAUACUGGGCGGCUUGAAUCCUGUUGCCGUGGGAGGAAUGAGUAGUGUAGCGGUGAAAUGCAUAGAUAUUACUCAGAACACCGAUUGCGAAGGCAUCUCACGAAGCAGGUAUUGACGCUGAGGCACGAAAGCGUGGGGAUCAAACAGGAUUAGAUACCCUGGUAGUCCACGCAGUAAACGAUGAUGACUAACCGUCGGCGAUACACAGUCGGUGGCCAAGCGAAAGCGAUAAGUCAUCCACCUGGGGAGUACGACCGCAAGGUUGAAACUCAAAGGAAUUGACGGGGGCCCGCACAAGCGGAGGAACAUGUGGUUUAAUUCGAAGCAACGCGAAGAACCUUACCAAGGCUUGACAUAACAGUGAAUAAGGCGGAAACGUCUUAGCCCUUCGGGGCGUCUGUAGAGGUGGUGCAUGGUUGUCGUCAGCUCGUGUCGUGAGAUGUCGGCUUAAGUGCCAUAACGAGCGCAACCCUUGCCGUCAGUUGCCAUCACUUCGGGUGGGCACUCUGUCGGGACUGCCAUCGUAAGAUGCGAGGAAGGUGGGGAUGACGUCAAAUCAGCACGGCCCUUACGUCCGGGGCUACACACGUGUUACAAUGGAGGGUACAGAAGGCAGCCACCUGGCGACAGGGCGCGAAUCCCCAAAACCUUCCUCAGUUCGGAUCGGAGUCUGCAACCCGACUCCGUGAAGCUGGAUUCGCUAGUAAUCGCGCAUCAGCCAUGGCGCGGUGAAUACGUUCCCGGGCCUUGCACUCACCGCCCGUCAA
This 1394-nucleotide ribosomal RNA is filed under the name uncultured bacterium. Its description in RNAcentral is "bacterial SSU rRNA". It matches the Rfam family "Bacterial small subunit ribosomal RNA". The record is from RNAcentral.